CCCUUCCCUUCCACAUCCCCUUCCAUUUCACAUUCCUUUCCCUUUGCCUUCUCUUUCUCUUCCCUCCUCCACAUCCUCUUCUCCACAUCCCCAACCCCUUCCCCCUUGCUCCUCCUCCUUCCCCCUUGUGGUGUGACGGGGAACAACAAACACCGAGGCCCCGCAACAACAAAUGCCCGGCGAUCACACACACGCCGCCGCACGCCUCGCAGGAUCAAAGGGAGGGAAGGACGUGUGGAUGCGACGCGCGGCGGACGGCUUGACAACAACAAGUCGGCACCUUACAUAGACCGGUGAAAUAAAUAAAAUGAGAGUCGAGCUACAAAGAGACUGGCUGCGACGUAAUAUCUCCCGAAAGCUUGAGAGUCGCUUGAUGCUGCUGACUGCAUGGAUUACCUCUCUGCCCUCGAUGUUAUAAGGUGUAAAUACGAUGGACACACGCUGGGGGCGGGACUCACACGGGGACUGUCCCAGG
This is a long non-coding RNA of Eriocheir sinensis (Chinese mitten crab), 475 nucleotides long. RefSeq lists it as uncharacterized. NCBI's taxonomy places the organism in Eukaryota, Metazoa, Arthropoda, Malacostraca, Decapoda, Varunidae. The record is from RefSeq and is a predicted model, not a curated record. The transcript is spliced from 3 exons.